RNAcentral lists this ribosomal RNA (253 nucleotides) under uncultured bacterium. RNAcentral describes it as "partial 16S ribosomal RNA". It matches the Rfam family "Bacterial small subunit ribosomal RNA", at positions 524 to 776 of the family's 1533-position model. The record is from RNAcentral.
UACGUAGGGUCCGAGCGUUGUCCGGAAUUAUUGGGCGUAAAGAGCUCGUAGGCGGUUUGUCGCGUCUGCUGUGAAAUCCCGAGGCUCAACCUCGGGUCUGCAGUGGGUACGGGCAGACUGGAGUGCGGUAGGGGAGAAUGGAAUUCCUGGUGUAGCGGUGGAAUGCGCAGAUAUCAGGAGGAACACCAAUGGCGAAGGCAGCUCGCUGGGACGGUACUGACGCUGAGACGCGAAAGCGUGGGGAGCAAACAGG